RNAcentral lists this long non-coding RNA (1607 nucleotides) under Brassica napus (rape). RNAcentral's name for it is "long non-coding RNA (BNAP_LNC022677)". The record is from RNAcentral. Lineage: Eukaryota; Viridiplantae; Streptophyta; Magnoliopsida; Brassicales; Brassicaceae.
UCCAUCGUUUAUAUUUGCCAUCUUAUUGAUCCACACGCAAAAAGAAAGACAAAACACACUUUCUCUACUACUCAAAUUCACAAAUAUUGUGUUUAUAUUCAACGUUUUAUCUUCCACGCAAACAUAUAUUUUUUCUUACUCAGUCUCUCAUGAUCUUACUCUUUUAUAUGCAGUGUCUGUAUAUUAAGCCUCGCUCUCUCACAUGCAAGGUUUCCCUUCGAAGAACUCAGCCUCAGGUUAUCUCUUUUUCCAAAUAUGAAAAAUCUGAAAUAUACUUACAAAAUGAAAUAUAUAAAGAUUUUUGAGAAUUUGCACUCUACAUACAAGAAAGAUCCAAUAAUUAGCUCUAUACACAUUUUUUUGUUUUCAUAGGAAUUGUAGAUUAAUUUAUGACCAUUAUACCCCUAUUGCUUUCUACUCUUCGAUUUUCAUGAUGCCCACAUAUUCCUUUAGAUUCUUUUUCUGAUAAUCCAAUUCUACAUGAAAUAAAAUGUAUCUGUGUCAGACAAAUUGAUAUAUUAUAUUAUAUUCAUAAAAUUUCCCCGAACCAAGACACCUCUUCUUCUUCUUUAUACGUUACUGUUCAUCACUUAAAUGAUAUAUAUCAGACAUAACUCUAUUUACUAUGUCUUAUUUGUGUUAAUUGUCCAAUCCAAAUAGAUCCAAGCGGCCGUGUAACGCCGCCUCCAUCUUUUCCUUGUAGAUGUCAUCUGGUUUUAUUUUGGUGGUGUUUCUUCUCUUCCUCUUCUGAUUUGUUUACGUUGUGCGACAGAAUUAGGAAAGCUUUGGCUGUUCUAUAGUGGCUCGUUGGUUUAAGGCGGAGGCUCUGCUUGAGGGCGGUGGAGCAGACAACCGAUUCCGCAAGUCAAUCAUCGGGAUCCCUAAAGUUUGUCUCGAUUGUUGAGAGGUGCUCGUUUGACGGCGGAUCUAUCCAUAGAGAUGGCGGUUCUCCCGGUGACGACUGUUCGGACUUGUGAGAAGGUGGAGACCCUUCGCAAUCAACGGCGGAAGAGUUCGAGAGUCGGGUGUUCUUUAUGGCUCUGGUGUUAUGUGGCAGCGGGGCCCCUUUGAGAUGGCUUAGCUUUGAAGGUACACCGGUGAAGGUUCUAUUAGCUGGCACGGACACUCUGCUAUAGUGAUGUCCCGGAUAAAAUGAUAUGCUGGCAGCGGUGUCUGUCGCAGGUGGCGGCUCCGCCUCCUUCGUCUUCUUUCCCACAUCUCCUCUAGUUCGCUUUAGAUUUGUGUGUUUAAUUAGGUGUGUUUCUUCUUUUUUCCAUGUAACCUAGCAAUUUCCGUUUCAUCGGAGCUCCGGUCUAUUUAUGUUCAGAUUUCCCCCUAGGGGCUUGAUAUAUAUUUAAGAGAAAGUGGAGUUUUUUUUUAUUUUUUUGAACUGAUUCUCUGUUACAAGUGGAAUUAACAAAUCAAAACGACCAGGUCCCUUGCUAAACUCUCAUUUUUAACACUCCCGGUAAAAGAUUAAACAUACUGCUAUCAUCCAAGUUUGAUUACUAAAAUGUUUACCCUUAACAAUAACAAACUAUCAGAUUAACACACCGAGUAACCGACCAACGAAGAUGCAAUCCUGCAUCAGACACUUCAUUACACCA